This 497-nucleotide ribosomal RNA is filed under the name uncultured bacterium. RNAcentral's name for it is "partial 16S ribosomal RNA". It matches the Rfam family "Bacterial small subunit ribosomal RNA", at positions 28 to 507 of the family's 1533-position model. The record is from RNAcentral.
GAUGAACGCUGGCGGCGUGCCUAAUACAUGCCAGUCGAGCGAACGGACGAGAAGCUUGCUUUUCUGAUGUUAGCGGCGGACGGGUGAGUAACACGUGGAUAACCUACCUAUAAGACUGGGAUAACUUCGGGAAACCGGAGCUAAUACCGGAUAAUAUUUUGAACCGCAUGGUUCAAAAGUGAAAGACGGUCUUGCUGUCACUUAUAGAUGGAUCCGCGCUGCAUUAGCUAGUUGGUAAGGUAACGGCUUACCAAGGCAACGAUGCAUAGCCGACCUGAUAGGGUGAUCGGCCACACUGGAACUGAGACACGGUCCAGACUCCUACGGGAGGCAGCAGUAGGGAAUCUUCCGCAAUGGGCGAAAGCCUGACGGAGCAACGCCGCGUGAGUGAUGAAGGUCUUCGGAUCGUAAAACUCUGUUAUUAGGGAAGAACAUAUGUGUAAGUAACUGUGCACAUCUUGACGGUACCUAAUCAGAAAGCCACGGCUAACUACGUG